GACGCUUGUGUGCGUGAGAGUCAAGAGCUGCUCGCGAGCGUGUGUGCAGCAGAGUCUGUCGCCUCCACAGCAGGUGUGUGUGUGUGUGUGUGUGUGUGUGUGCGCGCGCGCGGCUUCACUCGAGGACACUCUCAGGAUGUAACGUUGUGUGGAUUAGUCUGUUUGGACGCGCGAGACUGGGGUUCAUAACGCGUGGAAUAAUCUCGCUUUCCAGGACUGACAGAAGACACAGCAGGAACCAGUGCUCGGUGGGUCCACCCUGACUUCGUGUCGCGCUUCCUGAAGAAAGGAAAAGCCCUGAUGUGCUUGUCACCUGAGCUGACGGCCGGGGCUGCGUGAUGGAGGCCGAAUGUCUUCACUUGGUCCCUCUUCAGACACUCAAAGGCCGCUCUGUUUCAGCCUGAUGACGAGCCGAUUGGAUAUAAUCUUGAGCAGCGGACUCAGGAGAUGGGGAGGAAUAGGGAAACUCUACAGUAGGCUUUGCAGGGAAGGAUCGUCUUUCUCCAGAAGUAGGAAACGAGCGUCGGAGGGUUCCUGCUGCCAGUCGGCUCUCUCCUCCUGUUACGACACGGGACCAAAUUCAAACCAUGUGUCCUCGCACCCGGUUAGCUGCUUUUGCCCACCUCUAGCAUUAGCAGUCUGGACGGAUCCAUUUCACUGCCCCUCUCCCGUGUAGCGUUCUCAUUCUCCCAGCCCCAAAUGAGCCUCUCCGUGGGACUCCUGCCUUAAUAGGCUGGAACUUUCCCAUGUCCGGUCUCCAAAGGUGGCUGUUAUCCUCCGAGGGCCCCUGUGCGAGUUUCAAGCUCGGGCUCAUGUUAUGAGCCGGGCGAGGUGGACUCCGGGAUGUCAGAUGUGAUGCUUCACACAGAUUUUCACGUUUGCCUCAUGUUGGGUGGUCGUCCCGGGCCGGCGAGACUGUAAUCCUCCAGCACAUGCAUCAUAGUCCAGUUCUGCUUAACCACCACACAGUCACACCUGCAUGAACUAGCUUCCAGCUAUCUACACCAG
Cyprinus carpio carpio is the source of this 1008-nucleotide long non-coding RNA. Lineage: Eukaryota; Metazoa; Chordata; Actinopteri; Cypriniformes; Cyprinidae. The record is from Ensembl.